UACUUUAUAUAUCAUAUUUUUGUCAUUUUUUCAACAUAUUUUUCUUUAAUCGAUUAUUACAGUACUAUCUUAUGCCAAAAUUUAUUUACUUCAUUGCUUAUAAUAUAAGUAUAGUCAAAGAUUGUUAAAUAAAAAUACAUAUAUAAUGAGAAAGGUACAUUUGCAUUCAAUAUGUGCAUUUCUAAUAACAUACAUGCCAUUUUUUGUUAAAAUUUCUGAUAUAAAUUAAUGCUUUACUAUAUCUAUUUAUAUAGCAGUUUUUAUAUGAAAAUAGUCCGUGAAAUAAAUGUACGUGUAUAAAGGAAAUAUCAAAUUGAAAAUUGCUAUAUAGUGAUAUACAUAGCUUUUGAUUUUACUUUUUAUAUUUUAUGUACCGUUCAUAAUUUACACAUAUAUUUAUAAAUAUAAUGAUAAUAUAAUUAUAAAUCAACUUUAUCAAUUGUUUAUUAAAAUGUCAUAUUAUUUAGAAUAUAAAUGCACAAGACUUGUAUGUUACAUGGAAAUAGUAUAUUUUUAAUUUCGUUGUGUUUCGUUAUGAACAAAAAUAUAUCAUUAUUAUUGAAAGAUUAUAUGUGUAUACACAUUUUUAUAUAGUUCAGCAAUCACAGGAAUCGUCUCCUGGCAAAUACCUGUUGGUGUUUCUCCUUGACCAAGAAAGAUAUUACUAUAAGAAGUCUUGAGAUAAUUUACAUGACCUUGUAAGGAUUUUAUGCGGCCUUGCGCGUGUUUAAAUGCCUCGUUCAAAUUAUUUAUUUGACUCUGCAUCUUUUGUCUGAUCUACAUGCAUUAACAAAAAAAGCAGAUCGUAAUAAAUAUAUCAUUGUCCCCGUUAAAAUUUUCACUUUAUAUUCGCAAUCGUUACCUCAUCUCUAUCACGUUGAGCUGCGCGUGCUGUUGCUCUACAUUGUGCUAAUUGUCUUUCCAUUUCAGCGAUCUGGCCUUGCAUCGAUCUUCGCAUAGUUUCGCAUCGCUCCUUCGUUCUUGCUACUUGCCGAGCGGAAUCCUCUCUUAUCUUAAAGUUAAAAAGGAAAUCCAAUUUUUCUCCUUUUGUCAUAAAGUCAACACAUGCAACAACAUAUACCUGCUCCAACGUCGAUGACAACUGCGUGUUCUCGUGCAUUUUUUCGUCAAUUCGUUUUUGCAACUGCGCUUCAUGUUCCUCAAAUCGUGUUAAUGUGUUUUUCAUUCUCUCAUUUUCAUGUCGCAACUCGCUACAUUUUCUAUCUAUUUCAUCCGACUUAGUGGAGUCAUUCUAUGUAAGUUGAUUAAUUAUUUUUUAUUAAAAAUAUUGAAGUUUUUAUUAGGCUGAUAAAUGACAACCUGAAGUGUCUGAUGAUCGGUGCGCAACACGUCCAAUUGAUUUUGCAAAGUUUGAACCUUAUCCUUACAUUCCAGCAAUUCUCGUGAUAGAUCCUCGCAGUUGCGUUCGGCGACUAAACGCAUCUGUUGUGCUUCCUGCAUCUUAAUUUGCAUUUGUUUCAGGAUAUCGGGUAAUGGCGCAAGUUCGGCUAAUUUUUCUUGAAAUUGAUUCUGUCACAUUAACAUAUAUAUAUAUAUAUAUAUAUAGAAGGAGAAUUUUGCUUUAAAUAAUCUUAAUAACAAAUCGCAGUAACAUUAAUGUUUGAUAUACUUUAACUCGUCCAAUUUCCAGAGUAACGUUCUCAUUCAUUCGCGCAUUAUCCAUUUCCAUAAGAUCCAGUUGUCGACGCUGUUCUUCAACUUGUUGCUGGGCCUAAUUUAAUUUAAUUAUUUCAGAUUUAAAACUGUUUACGUUGGGAAAUAAUUAAGCCGGAUAAAAUUCAGCUAGAUAAAUUGAAAGGCUAAUACCGACUUGCAAAUAUUUGUUGCGAUAAUCCUCCAAUUGAGCAGCUUGAUCCUGAAUCAAAGAACGAAGCUCCUCUAGCUCAUCCUGCGCUUCACGAAAGCGUUGUUUCGCUACUAUUAAAGCCUGUUCCUGUUCGAUUAACUGUUCUUUGUGACCUGUUUCGAAAUUAAUUUGCAUUUUAUACUUUGUGCAUUCAAUUAGAAAAAUCUAUUCCACUGUUAUUGGUUCUUUAAAUAAGAGACUUUAUAACACAAAAAGUUACCUUCAAAUUUUUCUUUUUCUAUUUCUAGAAGUUUCAAUCGUUCCUGAGCAUCUAUCAACUUUAUCUCCAUUCGUUCUUUUUCUUCCUUUGCAUCGCGCAUAUCCUGUUUGAACUUCUCUGCAUCUGUUCUCAUGCAUGAUACCUCGCACAACUUGUUCUUAUAAUCAUCCUGAAGCCGAGCAUAUUGUUCGCGAAGAUCGCGUAAUUGCUGUUGAGCGGAAACACUGGUGCCCUGUGAUCAGAGAUACUCUACUGUGAUUUUAUAUAAUUAAUUUUUUUCCAUUAUAGUCUUACCAUGGCUGCAUUUGUACAGGAACCAGUCGCCUAUAUUCGAUAAAAAAAAAUUUUUUUUCUCUACUAAUUAGUAAAUUUUUCGCAUGACGAAGAAAACGAAUAACAAAAUAUCAUAGCUUUUAAUUAUGCAAAUUAUAAUCGCAGUACAGAAAUAUAUCAGCAAAAAUGAAAAAUGUGUAGAAUCUCGUAUAUGUUGUUAGAAACACGAGAAUCACUUAGGGAAUUUAUUAAAUAAAAAAUAAUCAAAGAAUUGUACAGGUAUCUGAGCGGAAGGCACAGCAGGUCCUGGCGUGGUGGGUGUCACGCAUGUCGAGGGCGGAGGUGGACAAGGACAUGGUGCACAAGAUUUUCCUCUACUUACUACCUUGGAAAAAAUCACAAGAUUUUUCACAAUUUAAGACUUACCAAUUGUUUAGAGCUAGUACCGUAAGUGGCAAGUUUAUCUUCCAAUUCUGCGGGGCACGUUCCUCUAGGAAGCGGUGGCCUAACGACAGCUAGACCACGGGAAGUCAUCACGGUUUGCAAAGAAUUAUCUACGAAAUAACGAUCGUCCGUUUUCGAGCCACCUCCUUCGGUGAUAAAGCAUCAACGAACUGAAGACAGCAUUUGCAUCGAUAGUAAACGUCUUCUCCAAGCUGCGCACUAACAUGCGGACGGAAUGACAGCGGUGUUGAUGGAGGAGACGAAGCAACACCUGGACAGGUGUAACAGCAAGUAGGUCUAAUCACUAGUUGAUUCAAAGUAGCCAAUUGACGACUCAGCUCCGUAUUUUCUUUGACAAUUAUACGCAUUUCUGCCUGAAGAGCGCAUACCUUCCUCUGUAAACUCUCUAGAGCGGUAUCUUUUUCCAACAAGGCUUCUUCUAGUUUGUACCUGUUUAUAUAUGGAAAAACAGGGCUUUCUAUACAGUCUUUAUAUAGUAGUUCUCUUCUGUCUGCUUUGCUUUAAAAUUGGACAAAAGUAUAGAAUAUUGAAUUAAAAUUUAAUUAUAAAAUUUUUUCUAAAUGAAAUAAUCAUUUUAUUAUUAUGAGAUCAAUAUAUCGGGUUACAUUUAAAUGACGUAUGAAUAUGAAUGACAUUGCUUCAAUGUCUGAAAUCGUCGCCGAGGGAACGGUAUAACUUUCAAAUAUUUUUCGACCUUCUAUUAUUCCACUAUAUAAAUAUAAAACUAUUGAAUAUUUAAAAAUAAUCUUUUGUAAGCCGAAUAUUCUGAAA
Non-coding RNA from Nylanderia fulva, 3596 nucleotides. The record is from RefSeq and is a predicted model, not a curated record. Lineage: Eukaryota; Metazoa; Arthropoda; Insecta; Hymenoptera; Formicidae.